AGCGUACACGGUGGAUGCCCUGGCAGUCAGAGGCGAUGAAGGACGUGCUAAUCUGCGAUAAGCGUCGGUAAGGUGAUAUGAACCGUUAUAACCGGCGAUUUCCGAAUGGGGAAACCCAGUGUGAUUCGUCACACUAUCAUUAACUGAAUCCAUAGGUUAAUGAGGCGAACCGGGGGAACUGAAACAUCUAAGUACCCCGAGGAAAAGAAAUCAACCGAGAUUCCCCCAGUAGCGGCGAGCGAACGGGGAGCAGCCCAGAGCCUGAAUCAGUGUGUGUGUUAGUGGAAGCGUCUGGAAAGGCGCGCGAUACAGGGUGACAGCCCCGUACACAAAAAUGCACAUACUGUGAGCUCGAUGAGUAGGGCGGGACACGUGGUAUCCUGUCUGAAUAUGGGGGGACCAUCCUCCAAGGCUAAAUACUCCUGACUGACCGAUAGUGAACCAGUACCGUGAGGGAAAGGCGAAAAGAACCCCGGCGAGGGGAGUGAAAAAGAACCUGAAACCGUGUACGUACAAGCAGUGGGAGCACAGAGCAAUCUGUGUGACUGCGUACCUUUUGUAUAAUGGGUCAGCGACUUAUAUUCUGUAGCAAGGUUAACCGAAUAGGGGAGCCGAAGGGAAACCGAGUCUUAACUGGGCGUUAAGUUGCAGGGUAUAGACCCGAAACCCGGUGAUCUAGCCAUGGGCAGGUUGAAGGUUGGGUAACACUAACUGGAGGACCGAACCGACUAAUGUUGAAAAAUUAGCGGAUGACUUGUGGCUGGGGGUGAAAGGCCAAUCAAACCGGGAGAUAGCUGGUUCUCCCCGAAAGCUAUUUAGGUAGCGCCUCGUGAAUUCAUCUCCGGGGGUAGAGCACUGUUUCGGCAAGGGGGUCAUCCCGACUUACCAACCCGAUGCAAACUGCGAAUACCGGAGAAUGUUAUCACGGGAGACACACGGCGGGUGCUAACGUCCGUCGUGAAGAGGGAAACAACCCAGACCGCCAGCUAAGGUCCCAAAGUCAUGGUUAAGUGGGAAACGAUGUGGGAAGGCCCAGACAGCCAGGAUGUUGGCUUAGAAGCAGCCAUCAUUUAAAGAAAGCGUAAUAGCUCACUGGUCGAGUCGGCCUGCGCGGAAGAUGUAACGGGGCUAAACCAUGCACCGAAGCUGCGGCAGCGACGCUGAUGCGUUGUUGGGUAGGGGAGCGUUCUGUAAGCCUGUGAAGGUGUACUGUGAGGUAUGCUGGAGGUAUCAGAAGUGCGAAUGCUGACAUAAGUAACGAUAAAGCGGGUGAAAAGCCCGCUCGCCGGAAGACCAAGGGUUCCUGUCCAACGUUAAUCGGGGCAGGGUGAGUCGACCCCUAAGGCGAGGCCGAAAGGCGUAGUCGAUGGGAAACAGGUUAAUAUUCCUGUACUUGGUGUUACUGCGAAGGGGGGACGGAGAAGGCUAUGUUGGCCGGGCGACGGUUGUCCCGGUUUAAGCGUGUAGGCUGGUUUUCCAGGCAAAUCCGGAAAAUCAAGGCUGAGGCGUGAUGACGAGGCACUACGGUGCUGAAGCAACAAAUGCCCUGCUUCCAGGAAAAGCCUCUAAGCAUCAGGUAACAUCAAAUCGUACCCCAAACCGACACAGGUGGUCAGGUAGAGAAUACCAAGGCGCUUGAGAGAACUCGGGUGAAGGAACUAGGCAAAAUGGUGCCGUAACUUCGGGAGAAGGCACGCUGAUAUGUAGGUGAAGUCCCUCGCGGAUGGAGCUGAAAUCAGUCGAAGAUACCAGCUGGCUGCAACUGUUUAUUAAAAACACAGCACUGUGCAAACACGAAAGUGGACGUAUACGGUGUGACGCCUGCCCGGUGCCGGAAGGUUAAUUGAUGGGGUUAGCGCAAGCGAAGCUCUUGAUCGAAGCCCCGGUAAACGGCGGCCGUAACUAUAACGGUCCUAAGGUAGCGAAAUUCCUUGUCGGGUAAGUUCCGACCUGCACGAAUGGCGUAAUGAUGGCCAGGCUGUCUCCACCCGAGACUCAGUGAAAUUGAACUCGCUGUGAAGAUGCAGUGUACCCGCGGCAAGACGGAAAGACCCCGUGAACCUUUACUAUAGCUUGACACUGAACAUUGAGCCUUGAUGUGUAGGAUAGGUGGGAGGCUUUGAAGUGUGGACGCCAGUCUGCAUGGAGCCGACCUUGAAAUACCACCCUUUAAUGUUUGAUGUUCUAACGUUGACCCGUAAUCCGGGUUGCGGACAGUGUCUGGUGGGUAGUUUGACUGGGGCGGUCUCCUCCUAAAGAGUAACGGAGGAGCACGAAGGUUGGCUAAUCCUGGUCGGACAUCAGGAGGUUAGUGCAAUGGCAUAAGCCAGCUUGACUGCGAGCGUGACGGCGCGAGCAGGUGCGAAAGCAGGUCAUAGUGAUCCGGUGGUUCUGAAUGGAAGGGCCAUCGCUCAACGGAUAAAAGGUACUCCGGGGAUAACAGGCUGAUACCGCCCAAGAGUUCAUAUCGACGGCGGUGUUUGGCACCUCGAUGUCGGCUCAUCACAUCCUGGGGCUGAAGUAGGUCCCAAGGGUAUGGCUGUUCGCCAUUUAAAGUGGUACGCGAGCUGGGUUUAGAACGUCGUGAGACAGUUCGGUCCCUAUCUGCCGUGGGCGCUGGAGAACUGAGGGGGGCUGCUCCUAGUACGAGAGGACCGGAGUGGACGCAUCACUGGUGUUCGGGUUGUCAUGCCAAUGGCACUGCCCGGUAGCUAAAUGCGGAAGAGAUAAGUGCUGAAAGCAUCUAAGCACGAAACUUGCCCCGAGAUGAGUUCUCCCUGACUCCUUGA
Molecule: ribosomal RNA, 2789 nt
Filed under: Escherichia coli
Lineage: Bacteria; Pseudomonadati; Pseudomonadota; Gammaproteobacteria; Enterobacterales; Enterobacteriaceae
Description: bacterial LSU rRNA
Rfam family: Bacterial large subunit ribosomal RNA
Source: RNAcentral